This 107-nucleotide ribosomal RNA is filed under the name Concinnum ten. Its description in RNAcentral is "partial 5.8S ribosomal RNA". It matches the Rfam family "5.8S ribosomal RNA", at positions 50 to 154 of the family's 154-position model. From Rfam's summary of the family: 5.8S ribosomal RNA (5.8S rRNA) is a component of the large subunit of the eukaryotic ribosome. It is transcribed by RNA polymerase I as part of the 45S precursor that also contains 18S and 28S rRNA. The record is from RNAcentral. Lineage: Eukaryota; Metazoa; Platyhelminthes; Trematoda; Plagiorchiida; Dicrocoeliidae.
CAACUGUGUGAAUUAAUGUGAACUGCAUACUGCUUUGAACAUCGACUUCUUGAACGCAUAUUGCGGCCAUGGGUUAGCCUGUGGCCACGCCUGUCCGAGGGUCGGCU